CGAACGCUGGCGGCGUGCUUACCACAUGCAAGUCGACCGGAAAGGCCCUGCUUUUGUGGGGUGCUCGAGUGGCGAACGGGUGAGUAACACGUGAGUAGCCUGCCCUUGACUUUGGGAUAACUUCAGGAAACUGGGGCUAAUACCGGAUAGGAGCUCCUGCUGCAUGGUGGGGGUUGGAAAGUUUCGGCGGUUGGGGAUGGACUCGCGGCUUAUCAGCUUGUUGGUGGGGUAGUGGCUUACCAAGGCUUUGCCGGGUAGCCGGCCUGGGAGGGUGACCGGCCACAUUGGGACUGAGAUACGGCCCAGACUCCUACGGGAGGCAGCAGUGGGGAAUAUUGCACAAUGGGCGGAAGCCUGAUGCAGCAACGCCGCGUGCGGGAUGACGGCCUUCGGGUUGUAAACCGCUUUCGCCUGUGACGAAGCGUGAGUGACGGUAAUGGGUAAAGAAGCACCGGCUAACUACGUG
Molecule: ribosomal RNA, 466 nt
Filed under: uncultured bacterium
Lineage: Bacteria
Description: partial 16S ribosomal RNA
Rfam family: Bacterial small subunit ribosomal RNA
Source: RNAcentral